GUGCUUACUCGGUAGCACGCAAAUGUCCUGCCAGUGAUUUAAGCUGUGUGUUGGACUUACAAACAACCGUUAUGUGAACAAAACUAUAAUACUCUCCUUAGCAACUUUGUUGCGAGAGCAUUAGACGUUUGAUUUUGUUUGUCGUACGAACAGCUGCUGAAAAGGAUAACGUAUUUUUGAAAAGUUUUUUGACGAUUUCGAGUUUCAGGCUCAAUAGCAUAAGGUGACUGAAAUAAUAAAGAUAUCCCGGUCGGAAGUGGCAGCUAAAUGCGGCCCUUAGGCGUAUAAGUCACACUAAAAGUGAACACGGAGCUGGAAGAACGACCACGAUGAGCCCGUUUAAGUUUCUAGAGCCGACUUUGCGUGCUGAAGCGGAAUCCACUUCAAAUCUAAUAAAUGUGAAUAGUUGUUAUUAUAGGACAGUCCAUCGGCCUCGAGCUCUCCAACAACAUUCUUGGAGUCGGAAAUUAUACCUGGUGAUAUAACAUCAACGCCAUCCACAUCACAUGGUAAUUUAGGAAGACGUCGAGUGCAAAAAGACGAUGAUAAGUAUACUCAAGUAAUUGAAAGUAUUCAUAUGUAUGUAUGUGCAACAGUUUAAAUCUUAUACAUAUAUAACAAGUAAGGAAGGGCUAAG
Molecule: long non-coding RNA, 637 nt
Organism: Bactrocera neohumeralis
Lineage: Eukaryota; Metazoa; Arthropoda; Insecta; Diptera; Tephritidae
Exons: 4
Source: RefSeq, a predicted model, not a curated record